Molecule: transfer RNA, 68 nt
Filed under: Iago omanensis (bigeye houndshark)
Lineage: Eukaryota; Metazoa; Chordata; Chondrichthyes; Carcharhiniformes; Triakidae
Description: tRNA-His
Rfam family: tRNA
About the family: Transfer RNA (tRNA) molecules are approximately 80 nucleotides in length.
Source: RNAcentral
GUAUUUAUAGUUUAAUUAAAACAUUAGAUUGUGGUUCUAAAAAUAAAGUUAAAGUCUUUUUAUUUACC